GGGGGGAUAUUGCACAAUGGGCGAAAGCCUGAUGCAGCGACGCCGCGUGGGGGAUGAAGGCUUUCGGGUUGUAAACCUCUUUCGCUAUCGAACAAGGCUCGCUUAGGGUGGGUUGAGGGUAGGUGGAGAAGAAGCGCCGGCUAACUACGUGCCAGCAGCCGCGGUAAUACGUAGGGCGCGAGCGUUGUCCGGUAUUAUUGGGCUUAAAGGGCUUGUAGGCGGCUUGUUGCGCCUGCUGUGAAAACGCGGGGCUUAACUUCGCGCGUGCAGUGGGUAAGGGCAGGGUUGAGUGUGGUAGGGGUGACUGGAAUUCCAGGUGUAGCGGUGGAAUGCGCAGAUAUCUGGAGGAACACCGAUGGGGAAGGCAGGUCACUGGGACAUUAAUGACGCUGAGGAGCGAAAGCAUGGGUAGCGAACAGG
RNAcentral lists this ribosomal RNA (420 nucleotides) under bacterium. Its description in RNAcentral is "partial 16S ribosomal RNA". It matches the Rfam family "Bacterial small subunit ribosomal RNA", at positions 355 to 776 of the family's 1533-position model. The record is from RNAcentral.